AUUUAAAUACAUCUUAUGUUGAGGUUCAAC
Non-coding RNA from Clostridium autoethanogenum DSM 10061, 30 nucleotides. The record is from Rfam. NCBI's taxonomy places the organism in Bacteria, Bacillati, Bacillota, Clostridia, Eubacteriales, Clostridiaceae.